GUCAAGAAGAGAUGUAGGAGCACCCUCAUGGAGAGGGAUUUUUAGAAGUUCCAUUGCAUGGUUUCACAAGUUAUGCAAUGACCAUCCUACUUUCUUCUAGCUGUAAUAUUUCCAAAACUAGUUACAAGAAAUGCGAGGAUGCCCAUUGUCAUUGAUAUGGUAUGGUGAUGAAGAGAUUCACGAAAUAUGAAUGUGGAGCUCAUUAAACUUUUGCCGCUUCAGUAGGUGCACCGGCCCUCUCAGCAAUAAUCUGCUCAUAGAGAUCUCUAAUCUUCAGUCCUACGAUAGUU
Molecule: unclassified non-coding RNA, 290 nt
Filed under: Hevea brasiliensis (rubber tree)
Lineage: Eukaryota; Viridiplantae; Streptophyta; Magnoliopsida; Malpighiales; Euphorbiaceae
Source: RNAcentral